Molecule: ribosomal RNA, 1325 nt
Filed under: metagenome
Description: bacterial LSU rRNA
Rfam family: Bacterial large subunit ribosomal RNA
Source: RNAcentral
AGUGGAUGGGGAACAACCUAGUUGUGCGUGUGUAAAGGUAGUGCCAAGAAAAGCGGUGAUCAUGAUGAAAAUCAAUUCCCGGUACCCGAAACCGACACAGGUGGGCAAGUAGAGAUUACUAAGGGGCGCGAGGUAACUCUCUCCAAGGAACUCGGCAAAAUGACCCCGUAACUUAGGGAGAAGGGGUGCCACCGAGAGGUGGUCGCAGUGAAGAGGCCCAGGCGACUGUUUAGCAAAAACAUAGGUCUCUGCAAACUCGAAAGAGGAGGUAUAGGGGCUGACGCCUGCCCAGUGCCGGAAGGUUAAAGAAGUUGGUCAGUCUUAGGAUGAAGCUAGCGACUGAAGCCCCGGUGAACGGCGGCCGUAACUAUAACGGUCCUAAGGUAGCGAAAUUCCUUGUCGGGUAAGUUCCGACCCGCACGAAAGGCGUAACGAUCUGGGCGCUGUCUCGGAGAGAGGCUCGGCGAAAUAGGAUUGUCUGUGAAGAUACGGACUACCUGCAUUUGGACAGAAAGACCCUAUGAAGCUUUACUAUAGCUUGGAAUUGUGUUCGGGCUUCCUGUGCGCAGGAUAGGUGGGAGGCGUAGAAGGUAUUCUUGUGGGGAUACUGGAGCCAACGGUGAGAUACCACUCUCAGGAGGCUAGAAUUCUAACUUAAUUAAGGACAGUUUCAGGUGGGUAGUUUGACUGGGGCGGUCGCCUCCAAAAAGGUAACGGAGGCGUACAAAGGUUCCCUCAGACUGGUUGGAAAUCAGUCGCAGAGUGCAAAGGCAGAAGGGAGCUUGACUGCGAGAAGUACAGUUCGAGCAGGGUGGAAACACGGUCUUAGUGAUCCGACGGUGCUGUGUGGAAGGGCCGUCGUUCAGCGGAUAAAAGUUACUCUAGGAUAACAGGCUGAUCUCCCCCAAGAGUUCACAUCGACGGGGAGGUUUGGCACCUCGAUGUCGGCUCAUCGCAACCUGGGGCGGAAGUACGUCCCAAGGGUUGGGCUGUUCGCCCAUUAAAGCGGUACGUGAGCUGGGUUCAGAACGUCGUGAGACAGUUCGGUCCAUAUCCGAUGUAGGCGUGAGAAUAUUGAGAGGAGCCUUCCUUAGUACGAGAGGACCGGGAAGGACGCACUGCUGGUGUACCUGUUAUGAUGCCAAUUGUAAACGCAGGGUAGCCAAGUGCGGAGAGGAUAACCGCUGAAAGCAUCUAAGUGGGAAGCCCACCUCAAGAUGAGUAUUCUGGUGUAAGGUCACGGGAAGACGACCCGUAAAUAGGCACGAGGUGGAAGUGCAGAGAUGUAUGAAGCCGAAGUGUACUAAUAGACCGUCGGCUUGACC